RNAcentral lists this RNase P RNA (332 nucleotides) under bovine gut metagenome. RNAcentral's name for it is "Bacterial RNase P class A". It matches the Rfam family "Bacterial RNase P class A". From Rfam's summary of the family: Ribonuclease P (RNase P) is a ubiquitous endoribonuclease, found in archaea, bacteria and eukarya as well as chloroplasts and mitochondria. Its best characterised activity is the generation of mature 5'-ends of tRNAs by cleaving the 5'-leader elements of precursor-tRNAs. The record is from RNAcentral.
CAGGACAUGUGAUCGCGGCUGGCUUUACGCCAGGUGAGGAAAGUCCGGGCUCCGCAGGGCAGGAUGCCGGAUAACGUCCGGCAGGGGUAACCCUCGGGAAAGCGCAACAGAAAAGAACCGCCGCGCACGCGGUAAGGGUGAAAAGGCAGUGUAAGAGACUACCGCCUGGCUGGUAACAGGCAGGGCAUAUGCAAGCCCCAUCCGGAGCAAGACCAAACAGAAGCAAUACGGCUGCCCGUCCGUCGUGCUUCAGGCCGGUCGCUUGAGCCGUUCGGUAACGGACGGCCUGGAUAGAUGAUCACACACGACAGAACCCGGCUUAUCGUUCUGCC